UGGGGAAUUUUGCACAAUGGGGGAAACCCUGAUGCAGCGACGCCGCGUGAUUUAGAAGGCCUUCGGGUUGUAAAAAUCUUUUCUAUGGGAAGAAAAUGACAGUACCAUAGGAAUAAGGACCGGCUAAUUACGUGCCAGCAGCCGCGGUAAUACGUAAGGUCCGAGCGUUGUCCGGAAUCAUUGGGCGUAAAGGGUACGUAGGCGGGUAAGCAAGUUAGAAGUGAAAUCCUAUAGCUCAACUAUAGUAAGCUUUUAAAACUGCUCAUCUUGAGGUAUGGAAGGGAAGGUGGAAUUCCUAGUGUAGCGGUGAAAUGCGCAGAUAUUAGGAAGAAUACCGGUGGCGAAGGCGAGUUUCUGGGCAUAACCUGACGCUGAGGUACGAAAGCGUGGGUAGCAAACAGG
Molecule: ribosomal RNA, 402 nt
Filed under: bacterium
Lineage: Bacteria
Description: partial 16S ribosomal RNA
Rfam family: Bacterial small subunit ribosomal RNA
Source: RNAcentral